UACAGAGGGGCAAGCGUUAUUCGGAAUUAUUGGGCGUAAAGGGCGCGUAGGCGGCUUGUCGCGUCGGGAGUGAAAACGCCGUGCUUAACACGGCGCUUGCUUUCGAUACGGGCAGACUAGAGGUAUUCAGGGGAGAACGGAAUUCCUGGUGUAGCGGUGAAAUGCGCAGAUAUCAGGAGGAACACCGGUGGCGAAGGCGGUUCUCUGGGAAUGACCUGACGCUGAGGAGCGAAAGUGUGGGAGCGAACAGG
RNAcentral lists this ribosomal RNA (251 nucleotides) under uncultured bacterium. Its description in RNAcentral is "partial 16S ribosomal RNA". It matches the Rfam family "Bacterial small subunit ribosomal RNA", at positions 524 to 776 of the family's 1533-position model. The record is from RNAcentral.